UGUCUCAGUUGGUUUGUGUCCCUCCACACCAUUCCAGGGCUGCCCUUUGCAGAGCAGAAAAUUGGAGUUCCUGGUGAACAUCUGCAUUUUCCAACUGGAGAAGCAAGGACUGUCCAACAGAACAGCUGCCCUGCCUUUGAGCCCAUCUGUCUGAAGAGCUGGAAUUAGAGAACUUCUGUUCUCUUGACCUCCUGGUGAAGGCAACAAAGACCACUGAGGAGUUUGUCUGCAGUGGAACCUGCUGAUGCAUUCUUUCUGCCAUCCUACAGAAGCAGAGCCUGCCCUGUACACUGCAGUUCGAGCCAGAUCUGCAGCACACAAAGAAGGGAAGAAAGGCAAGGACAGGAGAGCUUUGCUCAGGAACUUCUGUCCAAGAUGCACCACCCAAUCUUGGAGGUGUCCAAGAUGCGCCACCCAAUCUUUCAUUCACGGCAAACAAACCCCCAGACCUGCAGGGGGAGGAGGAAUUGGCAGCUGGAAAAGCUGCCUGGAGGUCAGCAACGAGGACUGGCAAUUUUUUGCCCUCUCAUCCACCGCUGGAGCCUGUGCAGGAGGCUUUGGCAGGAGGAAAGCUCCUUCCCCUGGCGGAGCUGGAAGGCGCGGUUGGCAAAGCGCGGCAAGAAGGGAGCAGCACAUCUCUGCAGAGCCAUCAGCAGAGAGCUCACAGGGCCAGCUUUGUGGGGAAAGGAGAGGAGAAACAGCACUGGAAAAGAGAGGGAAAACAGCACUGGAAAAGAGAGGGAAAACAGCAUUGGAAAAGAGGAAGAACAAAAGUUGAAAGCGUUGAGUUUGAGUACCGGGGGUUUUCAGCUCACUUAAGUUACACCCUGUGCAAAACACACAAGAGGAGCUGGUUUAAAGCAGAUUUCCUCCAUCAAGUGGAAGUUUAAACUCCUCAGCUGGGCAGUGAGAAUGUCAUGGGCAUGACUGUCCCAUUCCAGAUAAAUCAGGAUCGGGGGUAGCAGCAAUGGGUGGAACCCUGGCCCAGGCUCAGGCCAGAACAAACACCUUUCCUGAAAAGGAAAAGGUUUCACUCCUGCAAAUCAGGAACUCUUUCAGGGUAAAUGGGAUGAGACAAGCACUGAGAUUCCUGUGCAUUUUCAGAGAAACAGUGACUUGUAGAAACACUCUGCACUCCCUGUGCCCUAUUUCUUGCCUGCCUUUAAAACUGUGGAUCCCAAGAACACAGAGGGAGCUCAGCAGAGCAGAGGCAGAGGCUGCCUGUGCCAGAAUUUGGCCCACAACACGAGAUUUCCAUUCUCAUCUCCUGUGGUGGAGAGGAAGAUUCCUUAACUCACCAUAAAACACUCCCAAGAUUGGAUUCAUCAGCUCUUGCCAGGCCACAAAUUACUGCAGAUGAAUAAUAGAUGCUCCCCACUCCUGGCUUUGCCCCUCCUGCCUCAGCCUGGCCCUGCUUCCCAGUGGCUGCUGAUGAAAAGCAAACAGCCACCAAGGUGCAAGGAGCUCACCAGCAGGCUGCAGAGGAGCCAGAGUGAUCUCCUGGAUGUCUGUGGUGUCUGAGUGUGCAGCUAGGGCCCUGCCAGCGUGGUGUUGGGUAGGUCUCCAUCACAAGAUGCCUUUGACACCUCUGAUCAGCUGGGAGAAUUCUUUUAUUAAGUCUAAUUACUACAAGUGUUCCCCACCAAAGCCCCACAAUCUUGUUAAUUCAAUAAAACAUCUUUCUGGAUGAGCACAGAUCUAUUCACAGUCACUAUAAAGAAGCAGUGAAGGUAUUAUAAAAGUACAGAUAAAAGUGGAUAAAAGGCACAGAGAAAGUCACUUCCUUUGCUUGCAGUUUGAUCAUUUUGAAAGCCUAGAAAAAGAUUUCAGGUGGCCUAGAUGCUGAGAAAUCUGGGGAAUCUUGGAGUCUUUUGAAGAAUCUUCAACCUUUUGAUUUUGAUGCCAAUGUGUAUUUUCUUCUUAUUGGUCAUUAUUAUUUUAGGAGAAUGUUGGAGACCUGUUACAGCUGGAGUUGUGAGUUAUUGCAAGGUUAGAGCAACAUGCAUAUUCUGGAUAUUUAAUGGAGAACCAAAAAGAUGACUUAAAUUACAGGGCUUCUUGUGAGUUCUUGUCUAUCAACCCAGAAAAUAAUUUCAACCUGUCAGGGGAAAAUGAAAACUGGAGUCCUACUCAACAAGGUGCAAAAUUGUUGCUUAGUGUAAUAGUAAAUAAGCUUAUUUUGCACUGUUAUUCAGGAUGACUGAUUUGCACUGCUAUUUAGGAUGAUUGGUUUCAGCGCAAAUGAAAUAUUUUUCAAUUUCAGAAAAAAACCAAUCCAAGUAUAUUUUAGGUCCUUUAUGCAGAUAAAAUAUCUGGGUGAAUAGAUGGGUGAGGGAGACUUCCAUUGAACUUGUUCCUGGGAAAACAAUUUUCUAACAGCAAAGGCAGAUUUCACAGACUCAGUUAUGGAUUCCUGGGGUUGUUUCCAGGGCAGGAAUUUUUUAACUGGAAGAGCAGAUUGCACAGAAACAGGGAGGACUUUUGGUUUUGUUGAGAAUGCCUGAUUGCUGAUAUUUGCAGGGGAGCUCCAGGAGCUCACCCCUGACGUGCUCUCCUUUUCUUUGCACCAAGACACAAAACUCUGGGAGCUUGGGAAGGCAGGACAGUCCUCAGCUGCCAGGAGGAGCAGAGGAUUGUCCAGUUAGCUGACAGAAAUUCCAACAGGCUAUUCCACUGCACUAGAGACCCCAGAGGUUCAGCUGAGUGGGAAUGCAGCCCCAGCAGCCUGGUCAAUCCCUGCUUCUGUUCCUGCUGGGUUUUGCCAGGGCUCUGAUUGCUCCAGCAGCAAAGCUGGCCUUGAUGCCCUGGGAGAGGCAGAACAUGGAUUGGCAAAUUCAAUAACAGCCCAAAGUGAGACAGCUCUUCUUUCCCUACCCACACAGCCCUGGCACCUGCAGUGUGUGGGUAGGGAAAGGAUUCCUCUUUCUCCCAGCACAGGGACACUUGGGGUGUCAGCAGAGUGAGCUGUCACAGCUGCCAGCACCCCCAAACUCACAGUGACAAUUUGUGCUCUGCUAACCAAGCCCCCGUGCUUCAGCCCCUGCCAUCCAAACAGAGCUGUCCAUCCUGCCCCUCACAUCACUGUGCAGAGAGCUGGGGUGUGUUUGGUUGUGUGUUCAUUUCGUUUGAGAAUACUCAGGUAGGUCUUUUAGAAAGAGCAGAGCUUAAACGUUUUGAUUUCUUACAGAAGUUUGGAUUUCAUCUCUCAUCUCCAGCCUUACAGUGCCUUCCCAUUAUCAGCACAAAACUUCAAAUAACCAGAAGUGGGGAAGCACCUGGGCUGGAAUUCCCCAGGAAUUUCCAAUGUGCUGAGUGAUUUAGAUCACUGACUCCAGCAGUCUCUUGAGCAAUUACACUGCCCUCAUCCCUGCAGCUCAGAAGUGCCUCUGUUUCUUUCAUGUUUGCUGCUAAUGCCACUGCACAAUGCAAGCAGGCAGUGUGCAGACACACUGCUUUAGCCUCUGCCUCCUCCUGGAGGGAGUUUUUCCCCUGAUCAAAUGAGGAGUUCUGCUGGCUGUGGUGUCUGGGGCUCUCCCUUUGCCCUGUGUGACCUGCAGCACAACCCUGCUCACCAGGGCCUUUGGGGCUGUGCAAGGGAUAAAAGGAUCUGCCAAAGGCAGGCAUGGGCAGCUGGGCAAGGGAAAACACAGGAAGGAAUUCCUCUCUGGUCUUCAAAUCCUGCCUGAGAUUUAUUGCCCCUCUGCAUAAAGCAGGGAUUCCCUGCUGGAGCCUCUGCUGAGGAGCCAGGACCUUGUUUCCCUGCUGUGCAUCUCUGGAGGCACAGACAGAGUUUUCCCUCUGGAUGUGGUGCAAGGAGAAGGCUGAUUUUAGGAAAAAGAGACCACGUCUUUGCUGAUGAAGAGUUUGCUUGCCUGUGCUAAGGAAAACUUCACCAACUGGUUUUCUGUCAAAAAGUUUUCACUUGAACCUAUCCUACUUUGAAUCUAUCCUGUCUAUUCACUUGAAUCUCUUCUCUUUUUCCAGGUAAUUUUAACAUUUCUGGUAAGGAGAACUGAAGGAUUUAUGUUCCCUGCCAGGAGGAAAGGCAUGUGCUGCCACGGCAGGGGCCAGCAGCGAGGCUGAGAGAGCUCUGACCUUUCCUCCUGCCCUCAGCCCUUGGCUCUCCUGCCAACUCAGUUAAGCCCCUUCCUAACUGGAGUGCCCCGAUGGGGGUGUGUGACAGCACGAGUGCUUCCAGCAUUGGUGCCAGAGCUGGAGCUCCCUUUUGCUGCCUCCCAGCCCUUCCAGCUGGGGGUGAUGAGCUCAGGCACAGCUCAGAGGGCAGACCUGGCACAGAGGCAUGAGCAACUGCAGCUGAAUCGGUUUCUAUCUUCCCCUGAUGGCUGUUGAAAUCCACCCAGACUGAAGCAGAAUCAAUUUCCAUCCUGCGACUCAAAAGUGAUUGGGUCUUUGUUGAAUUAAGCUGUGCAAUCCUGGCUCCCCAUGCUCACCUUGAGCCUGCCUGGGAGCUGAACUCUUCAUGACUACCUGAAGGUAAGCCAGGGAGGUGUUCUUGAGAGCCCCAGGACUUUAUUUUACUAAUUUAUUUUACCCAAUUUACUAACUGGGGAGAUGAAGUACCACAAAGCUGCAAUGCCACCAUUUUUGUCAGUCUGCAAUUAAUUUGUUGUUUCCACAGACAAUGGUACCAUAUUUAAUUUUUAGUAGCUCUUUAAUUCUUUGUGACCCUAAGAAUUUUCUCUCUGCUGACAACACCCUGUAGUUUAUUUCUGUUUAUUUCUGAGCAUUGUUCAGUUUCCUGUUUUGUAAUAGAAUCCCAUUAAUUUGUCACUUAUUUAUACAGAACUCAUUACUUAUCUUCAUUCCUCAUCUUUGUGCAGCUCCUGCAAAUAUACUUUUACUGCAUAAUCCUCUCAUUUGAUAUUUCAUUCAACGCUUUUAUGUAACUGACAUGACAUUUUUCCUUUUCCUGCCUCUGAAUCACUGAAGAUUUUCUCAAGUGCUUUUGUCCUAAAUGUACGUUAUGGUCUCCUUAAUUUUGUGCUUAUUAUUGUGUACCCUUCAAUCACAGCUUUAUAGUUCACUUUAUUUUUUGUUUUACUUUCCCAACUGCAGUGCUUUCUGCUUCCACUCCUGAUUUUGACACUAUAAUUACUAUCCAGACCUGACAUUGUGUAUUAGGUUCCUUUACUAGAUUACUUUAAUUCAUUUAAUUCUCAUUUUUAAUUUUGUUUUAUCAGUAGUGUUUUCCUCCUGCUCUGACAGCCGUGCAGCCUACCCUGAUUCUCCCACAUCCCUCCUCAUCCUGCCCUGUUUCUGCUUCCCUUCCCCACUGCCAUCUCCUAGCUGAUACCAUCUUGAUGAAUAAAUUAUCAAGAUUGUUCUACAAGAAAUCUGUCAUGGGGUGUGUGACCUCUUUUAAAUCUGAGCUUUAGCUCUGAAUUCCAGAUCAGCACUGCACGAGCUGCUCUGAUGGAAAUGUGGAGGAAUGGGUGGCUGGCAGUUUCUCCUGAGGCCUUCCUUUGUUCUGCUUUCCCAUCCUUCUAUGAUUUAUCACUUUUAGGACACCCAAAGUGACUUGGAAGAAGAUUUUUGCCCCAUUAUAGCUUGAUUGAAGUCAAGUUCAAACAGCUGUGCUCAAUACACAGCCUUGGGAUACUCAAUAUUGCAUGUUAAGGAAUAAACACACAUGGACAUGUGAAAAAUGUGUGGGUUUUCCUUCCACCUUUAUUCUUUCAUGAUUAACUAAUGAUGGAAGUGCCAAAUGACAAUUGUGAUAAUCACUUCUAGAUUUUAAUUCAGCCAGGACAAGGUAGAACUGGAAAUCUCUGUUAAAACAUUCUCUGAAUAUUUUUUCAAAUGUUCUAGAUUAAGGGAGCAUUUGUAUUGUUUGGCUUUUAUUAACACCUUAAAGGAACUCCUUCAGCAGUGGAACAGAAGUCCCAGUGGUGACACAGUGAACUUUCAAGGUUGUGCAGUCCUGCAACACCCCCAGCCACAGAGAAAACAGCUGGGAGGUGGAGGAGCAGAGAUCCUGCAGAGGGAAGGCUCUCACAGCAGUGUCACCCUGAGCUGUGGCAGCCCCAGGAGAUUUCUUGGGCUGGAGGAUGGUCUUUCCAAGCUCUGUGUCAGAGCCUUGGCAUUGAACUCCCACAAAGUGAUGAGUCACAUGGAGCUGGUUGUUUCCUUGAGAACAGCAAAAGCAAGUGAGAAUUAUCUUUGAAUUCAGGAGCCCAGGAGUGCCACGCAGGAAUCGAAUUUUACAGUGGAGCCCAGGGCACCAAGCUCCCCCUGAUGCCUGCAGAAGGAGUGGCUGUGUGUGGAGACCCAAGCCCUGCCCUGCUGCAGCCCAGCCCAGUCUGAGGACCAGAAAGUGCUUGGCAGCCCAGCCUGGAGGAACCCAGCAAUCCCUCCCACAGCUGGAGCUACCCCGAGCAGCCCCUCUGGAACUGUCAUCAGCAGAGGCUGCCUUGCUUCAAAAGAUUUCACACAGAUUUUCCACUGAGCUCUCAGUAUUUUAUAGCCAGCUUUGAGCAGGUGAGACUGUGAGGAGCAAUUCCCUCUGAUGCUGAGCACAGAUCCUGAGUGAGCACCUCCCACUGCCACAGACAAGCAGAAGAAACCAUUUUCCUUGACCCACUGAGCUCUUCAGACUCCACCAGUGAGACAUGCCUGAACCAAUCAGAUUAUUUUGCUGUUUCCUGCACAUUGUGUGAUGUAUUAUGAACACUUCUCCUCAGUUUGGGGCUAAAAGCUUGACUUGUAUAACCAAGGCCCAUUAUAAAGAAGAAAAGUCAAAAGGAGCACGCAGUGUGCAAGAGUAAAACUGCAGGAGAGUUCUGUUUUCAGGAGGGCUUUUUCCUAUCCAGGCAUGGUGCAAAGUGAUGUUUAUACAGCUGCUGUGAGUGUCUCGUGUGUGUAAUACCCACACCACAACAAUGCACAUUUUGGAAAACAAAGGGGUACCUAUACAGGAUGGAAAUGCACAGGAGAAGUCACCACAAAGGAAACCCAAAAAGACCCGUGGGGACCUACCCUGAUUGGAAUCAAAUGUGAAGCUGUGAGGAGAACUUGCAGCAGGUGCACGUGCCUUGGUUCUGCUCAAGCACUGAAGGGAGCCCAGGGCUACUGAAGCCUUUUCCAGCAUCCUCCAUGGCUCUCCUGGAGGAAUGUGGUACCUCGUGGUGCUCCUUCCUUGGCAAAAAGGAUGGUUUUGGUGUUUCUAUUUGGGCAAACCAGCCCAGCUGCAUCCCAGAGCCCUGCAGCUGUGGGCUCUUUGCUGAGCCCCACUGCAGCUCCUGGCACGUCCUCUGAGCAUCUCUGAGCUAAGGAAGUUAGAGUUCCACAGCCUGGUAAGAGUUUGGGGAAAAACCCACCCAACCCCCUGUGAGUGCUGUUUGACUCUGUGCCUGCUCUGGAUUCCUUACUCUGAGGGGAAAGUUUGGAAACAGAGCAGGAGGUGUGAAUGUUGUACUGAACACAGUGGCUCUCAAAGGUGUCCUGAGCAUCACUAAGGAAUCAGUGCUACCAGGAGGAUCUGAUCAUGCCAUGCUUGGCUGGUUUUCCUACUGCAAAAUCUGUGGUCUUUAUCAAUAUUUGAAGAGUCAAACCAUUCCCCCCAAAUGAUUAAUAGAAUCCCCUAACAUAUAGGGGAAAAGGUUUAAUUUUUUUUUUUUUUAAGUAAUCCAAGAAUAAAUUGUUUUCAUAUAGAUUUUUUUUUCUGAACCUAUAUUGAAGCAUUUGAGUUGUGCUCAUGGAGCUACAUUUAUAAGAAAAAGUAUUAUCUUUUAUUAGAUCACAUAGUAUAUCUUGAAAAAGAAGCAUCUCAGGCUCACAAAUGCUUUCUUGGCCCCUCUGCAGGGAUAUGGAAAAUAAUCUUGCUGGGAGGAAGAGAGCUCAAGGGAGAAUAUAGAUGUCCUGUUAAUCAGGACAUAAAAAAGAAAGGAGAAGCUGUGAUGUGACAGUGACUGGUGGGAGAAAAUCUGGCAAGCAGCAGAGAGAAGAUUGGGAGAUAUGACAAUUUGGGAAAUGUGCUCUUAAUGCAGCUGAGUCUCUGCUGGAGCUUUGAUCCAGUUCUGAGGCAGUGGUGCCCCUUUGGAUGAAGAAGCAGAAGCAGCAUCAUCCAGGAAACACUAAGGGGGAUCAGAGUAGCUUGACCAUCUCCUCAGCCAGAGAAAUCCCAUCUGGAGGUAAGGGGAAGUUCCCAGCUGGCUCCUUUCCACAGUGACCACCCACCCUCUGCUCCCUCUGUUCCACACCUCAGCCGCUGGAGCAAGAGGGUGCAGAGAGAAAUUUUGUGACUUUUGUGCAACUUCCAUUUGACAUCUCAGGCUCUCUAGCAGUAAACACACAUGAAAGUAAAAUACCUGCAAAGAAAACAAGGUUCUCAAGAGCCCCUUGAGAGCACCCAGGGCAAGCCCUGCUCCAGCAGGCUGGGCAGAGCAAUUGCUCAGGAUUGUGCCAUUCAGGUUUUGAGAUUCUGUCUCCCCAGAAUCAUUAAGGAGGUGUUAACACGACUGAACAGCUGCUACAACCAAGGAGCAAUUACUGGUGCAGCAGGACAUGGUUUGCUUAACAAGGCCUUCCCAUUUUUCCUGAUGGCUGCUGGAACAGAGCAGGGAUUUAGGAGGAGCAGAAGAAACAGAAUUGGACUCUUUAAAUAAUUACAAACUCCUUUAUCCCGUGUAGAACCCGAGCAAGUUCUCAGAAGAGAUUUGGGGAAAUGUUGAGUCUGGUGAUGAGCAGGCAGUGCAAAAUCUUCUCCCCAAAUAUCCCAGCUGGAAUUCCACCACGGAGCUCACCCCAAGCACUGCAGCAUUUGGCGUGGAGGAGCAGAUGUCCAAUGCUGCCCCAAAAGCACACGUGGGGCAGCCCUUGCUGUUGGGUUUGUGACUGUGUGGUUCCUGCUUGGGGAGCUGGGAGCUCAUCCCUUCUGCUAUUAGAGAUAACAAAUAGCUCGUAGCACUGAAGUUAAAUUUAGGUCUUUGCAUAUUUAACAACUGUAUGGGUUUAAAUAUGCAAAUAAUAACAAUUAACUUAUUCUGAAUUUACUUCAUCACUGAAAUAUUUGUACUCCAAACCUGGGAUAUUUUACAGGUUCUGAGAUUGACUUUGCAGACAGCUUGUCAGUGAGUGGGGGUUUCUUGCGUGGCCUGGUGAGAUGUUUCUGACAAUCUGUUGCCAGAAUAUCUGUCUAUCAAUAAGUUUAUCAGCAGACUUCAUUUAUUAAAGAGAAAAUUAGCAGCUAGCUUUGUUUUUCUUUUCUGCUUAAGGAGUGGAAUAAAUUGCCAGUUGGCUUGUUUUGUUGUUGUAUUUUCCCCUGUGUGUUUGUGGUGGGUUUUGGGGUUUUUUUCGCUGCAGUAUUUGCAGUUUGAUUUGAAUUACCCGAAGGAAUAAAUUCCAUUUUCAGUGAUGAGGAUUAAAGAGAGCACCAAGGUAUUACUACAGUCAGACAACAUCCACAGUGUCCUACAUUAAGCAUUCCCUGGAAGUAAAGAUUUACAUGUUCCACGUUAAUUAUCCCACCUCUAAUUGUACCCCCUUGCCAUAAUACCCUAAUGAAAGUGCUAUUUAUAUUAAUAAAGCAUUUCAGUCCUCGGAGCAGCCCCUCACACGGGCCCUCACUCUGCACAUGAGCCCUCUGGAAUGACAAAGGAGGAGAAGGAGCUCUACCCCAGGCAGAGAGCAGGGAGUGCCAGGCAAGCCCAGCCCAGCCCCAGGCACACCUGGCUGCAGGCUGAGGGGCAGAUCCCACCCCGGGCAGCCUCUCCUCCUCCCUCGGGGCUGCUCAUUCUCUUUAGCCACUCAGGUACCGUGUAAAACGAGCUCUGCUCCUGAGAAUAUCAGUGACUGGCAUGUGGUAAUGCUCGCAUCAAUGUGAACCUCGGUGCGUUUUCCAUGGCAAUUAAGGAGGCAGCAGAAUUCUGGGACACCCCUCUUUGUCAGAUUCUCGUCCUCUGCACUCUACAGGAGACUUUAAAAAGCCCAGACUGUUGCACUUCGGAGGGAGAAAUUUAUUUUUUUGCCUUUUCUCAGUGGGCUGGCUGUGCUGGUUGACACUUCUCAGUAAUAUUUAAUCACGGUGUGGAGCUGAUGCAGAGUGACUCCUCUGAAGCAUCUUAGGCUGUCUCUUUAAAAUAAUCCUGUCACAUAUUCAUAAACAAAAAUAGAGGUCAGAUAAUGUUACUUGUCAGGUCUGACUAUGCCCUGGCUUUUAUUAGAAAGUGUAGAGAGCCCAAUCUCAAGAAGAGAACAGCACUGCUGCAUUUGAAUUACAUGCUUUUUGUCCUUCUCUUAUUUGAAAAUCCUGCCUGCCUAAUUUGGCAAUAAAUUAAGCACUGCUGUUAAAACCAGAUUCUCAUUGAGACUGAAGGAGCAGUGUCCCUGCUAAGGAGGAGUGGUUGCAGUGAGCAGGUCUGGCUCACCCCUCCUCACCUCAGCUGAGCUCCAGGACUCUGGAUUUGGAUCCCAAGCAGAUUUAGAUUCUUGUCCUGGUGAAGAUCAGCCUCGACAAACAAUGCCAUUUUAGGAUCCUAUGAAAAGAUGGCUUGAUCUGCAUUUUCCCUUUCCCUGCUCCUU
Molecule: long non-coding RNA, 10539 nt
Organism: Haemorhous mexicanus (house finch)
Lineage: Eukaryota; Metazoa; Chordata; Aves; Passeriformes; Fringillidae
Exons: 14
Source: RefSeq, a predicted model, not a curated record